GUUUGUCUCUGGAUCCUUUGGUCCUGUGUCGUUAGGAACAAGAGAGCUCUUAUCAGAGUCCUAGGAGGAGGAGCCUCAGCCCAGAGCCUAGGACAGAGGGAGGAGGCUCAUAGGACAGACCCAGACCCUAAGGCAGAGGGAAGAGGCUCACAGGACAAGUGGGAAUAUUGCACUUCCAGGAACUCAGGCAAGUUGAAGACCAGCUAGACCGCCCCAGGGAAAGCCAAGACCAACCUGUGUGGCAGACUGCAUUCGCAGACAGGGAAGCACAGAAAGGUCCAAGCGGCCAAGAAUUCACAACAUUCAGAAAAAUCAUUUAUCCAAGCACAGACUUCGUUUCUAUAAGACAAAGACUCUCUAAAUAUUACUCGUGGGGAAGGUGUUCAAAGUGUAAUUUAAACUUUCUCUACAUAAGUAAAGACUCUUUAGUUUUUU
Long non-coding RNA from Leopardus geoffroyi (Geoffroy's cat), 435 nucleotides. RefSeq lists it as uncharacterized. NCBI's taxonomy places the organism in Eukaryota, Metazoa, Chordata, Mammalia, Carnivora, Felidae. The transcript has 2 exons. The record is from RefSeq and is a predicted model, not a curated record.